AAUCCAUGGUGCAGGCAAAAUCGAAGCGAGUCCUUGUACCUUUCAUAGGCAUCACACAUGCACUCGUCAUCGAACUACACAAAAGAAGAUAUGUCGUUUCUCAAUUU
Small nucleolar RNA from Ricinus communis (castor bean), 107 nucleotides. Lineage: Eukaryota; Viridiplantae; Streptophyta; Magnoliopsida; Malpighiales; Euphorbiaceae. The record is from RefSeq and is a predicted model, not a curated record.